ACUACGGGUGGCUGCAGUGAGGAAUAUUGGUCAAUGGCCGGAAGGCUGAACCAGCCAAGCCGCGUGAAGGACGAAGGUGCCAAGCAUUGUAAACUUCUUUUGUCAAGGGACAAAAUCAGGCUCGAGAGCCUGACCGAGGGGACUUGAAGAAAAAGCAUCGGCUAACUCCGUGCCAGCAGCCGCGGUAAUACGGAGGAUGCGGGCGUUAUCCGGAUUUAUUGGGUUUAAAGGGAGCGUAGGGGAAUUGUUAAGUCAGUUGUGAAAGUUUGCGGCUCAACCGUAAAAUUGCUGUUGAAACUGGGAGGCUGGAGUACAGUAGAGGUGGGCGGAAUUCGUGGUGUAGCGGUGAAAUGCUUAGAUAUGACGAAGAACCCCGAUUGCGAAGGCAGCUUGCUGCAGCGGAACUGACGCUGAUGCUCGAAAGCGCGGGUAUCGAACAGGAUUAGAUACCCGUGUAGUC
RNAcentral lists this ribosomal RNA (460 nucleotides) under uncultured bacterium. Its description in RNAcentral is "partial 16S ribosomal RNA". It matches the Rfam family "Bacterial small subunit ribosomal RNA", at positions 338 to 795 of the family's 1533-position model. The record is from RNAcentral.